RNAcentral lists this ribosomal RNA (402 nucleotides) under uncultured Sphingobium sp. Its description in RNAcentral is "bacterial SSU rRNA". It matches the Rfam family "Bacterial small subunit ribosomal RNA", at positions 355 to 774 of the family's 1533-position model. Lineage: Bacteria; Pseudomonadati; Pseudomonadota; Alphaproteobacteria; Sphingomonadales; Sphingobiaceae. The record is from RNAcentral.
UAGGGAAUAUUGGACAAUGGGGGCAACCCUGAUCCAGCAAUGCCGCGUGAGUGAUGAAGGCCUUAGGGUUGUAAAGCUCUUUUACCCGGGAUGAUAAUGACAGUACCGGGAGAAUAAGCUCCGGCUAACUCCGUGCCAGCAGCCGCGGUAAUACGGAGGGGGCUAGCGUUGUUCGGAAUUACUGGGCGUAAAGCGCACGUAGGCGGCGAUUUAAGUCAGAGGUGAAAGCCCGGGGCUCAACCCCGGAAUAGCCUUUGAGACUGGAUUGCUUGAACAUCGGAGAGGUGAGUGGAAUUCCGAGUGUAGAGGUGAAAUUCGUAGAUAUUCGGAAGAACACCAGUGGCGAAGGCGGCUCACUGGACGAUUGUUGACGCUGAGGUGCGAAAGCGUGGGGAGCAAACA